UCUGAAGAGCGAUAGGCUAUAAAUCUUAUC
RNAcentral lists this non-coding RNA (30 nucleotides) under Rattus norvegicus (Norway rat). The record is from RNAcentral. Lineage: Eukaryota; Metazoa; Chordata; Mammalia; Rodentia; Muridae.